This 402-nucleotide ribosomal RNA is filed under the name uncultured prokaryote. Its description in RNAcentral is "bacterial SSU rRNA". It matches the Rfam family "Bacterial small subunit ribosomal RNA", at positions 355 to 774 of the family's 1533-position model. The record is from RNAcentral.
UAGGGAAUAUUGGUAAUCUGGGAAACCGCGAACCAGCAACGCCGCGUGCGCGAUGAAGGACUUCGGGUUGUAAAGCGCUUUUUGAGAGGAUGAGGAAGGACAGUACUCUUAGAAUAAGCAUCGGCUAACUACGUGCCAGCAGCCGCGGUAAAACGUAGGAGGCAAACGUUAUCCGGAUUUACUGGGCGUAAAGCGCGUGUAGGUGGUUCUGUAAGUAGGGCGUGAAAGCUCCUUGCUCAACUGGGAGAGGCCGUUCUAAACUGCAGAGCUAGAGGAUGGUAGAGUGAUGUUGAAUUCCGGGUUUAGCUGUGGAAUGCGCAGAUAUCCGUAGGAACACCAGUGGCGAAAGCGGCCUCCUGGACCAUUCCUGACACUCAGACGCGAAAGCUAGGGUAGCAAACG